CCCCAGAUCAACCUUAGAUGCAACGUGGUCUUCAGGGAGCUGGUGGCCGCCUUGCGCUGCAGGUGGACGUGGUGGAGGUGACUUCCUCACGCGCAUCAGCUCCUGAAAGAAGAUGUGGCUGGUUCUCCCAUUUGGAGUUUGAAGCCUGUAGGGAAGGACCCAAAUGGGUUUGGUUUUCUUUAGAUCAUAGCAAUACUCUGGGGGUCCGACUUUCCGAGGAUCCAGACAACUCGCUACCGUCCGCGAGCCCUGCCAGGCUGCUUCUAGAACCUUCAUACCAGAUCCUGUUGGUUGAUGGUGCUGCUGAGUACUUCCAUAUUCUUGGUGGUUUUCUGAAUAGCUUUUCCAUCAAGUGCAGAGAGAGGCAUGUCGAGCCAUCGAUCAUUCCCUGCGGAUGAUCCCGGGUGGAAAGACUCGUGGGCGCUCGGGGACGUCCAUCAGGCCGUCAAGGGUUGUAGCAGGAGAUUUCUUCCGUAGAGACGGCUCCUGGAGGAGCCCUGACCCGUCAGCCGCCCUCUGGAAGAGCUGAGUGAGCUGCCGGCUGGAAGGCUCCUAGCCAGACGCCUUCCUAAGGGUACAAGGUCCUGCCUCAGCUGCUGCUUGCCCUCCUGUCCAUGCUGUCUUACUGCAGUGUAGACGAUGGACUCUCCAGCUGUGACUGCUGUGUACAUUCUAGAACAUCCCCCUCCCCCAUGGGCGCACCCUGUGCACGCACAGCUGUGUCCGCGAGCGGCAGGGCGGCGGGACGCCGUCACGCCGGGGGAGUGUCAGCGCGCGCCGCACGGGGUGCUUUCAGCCCUGAGAAGUCUGCCCAUUAACACGCAGGACGGCCGUCCUGUGAUGCCGCGAUGCUCUGUCUGGGCCCCGGGGACAGAGAACGGGGCCUCGGAGCAUCCAAAGAGGCGUGGGGACCACGGCGAGUCCUCUGCUUCCCCCCAUGCAGGAGCUGUCAGGGAAGCACGAGGAAUUCUCAUCAUGCUCUCGCUGCCGUAACAUCAUGAUACUCGUUCUCAUAGAGAUGAGGUUUUAUAUCCAGGUCAGCCAAGACUCCCAAGCCAGCUGUAAAUGCAGAUGUUGUCCAAAUUGUAAUAGAUACAAAAAUAAUUAGAAGGCGAAGCAUAAGGUCUCGAAGACAGAAAAGAGGAGUGCGGAGGACACAGUGGGCAAGAAGGGAAGGCUUCUGGAGAGUGUGCGAGCUCUGUCUCUCAUCGUCACAUCCUGGGUUUCCAACAUCUGGAGGAAAGCUACUUUUCAGAGAUUUAUGUCUCUCCCUCUUUCUCUCUCUCCCUUUCUUCCCCUCUCUCUCUCUGUCUCCGUUUUUAUAUAUAUAAAAAAGAAUUAAAAAGGACUUGAACAUCUGGGUUUCCAA
Lagenorhynchus albirostris (white-beaked dolphin) is the source of this 1369-nucleotide RNA transcript. RefSeq lists it as uncharacterized. NCBI's taxonomy places the organism in Eukaryota, Metazoa, Chordata, Mammalia, Artiodactyla, Delphinidae. The record is from RefSeq and is a predicted model, not a curated record. The transcript is spliced from 8 exons.